GAGCCGGUCGUGUGCGUUGGGCGCGGCGGGAGCCCAGACUCCUCCCCGGAGUCGCUCGGGCGCCGGACUCUGCCCGGGGCGGGCCCUGCGGGGCGGAGCUCACUCUGCGGGCGGCGGAGCCACCCCGCCCCGCCAAGCCGAGCCGGCCCGAGGUCCAGAGCCGAGGGGAGGAGCAGCGCCGCGACCCUGGGCUCGCUGAGCGCCCUCCAAGGGAAUCCGGCCUUAACGUAAUGGGAACAUUCUUGAUCUUGGUGUCCCAAAGACGAAGGUUUGAGUUUCAGCUCUGUUAAUUUUACUGUGAUCUUGGUGCUGACGUGGAGCUCCUUUCAGUUUAUGCACCACAUAAUUACAAGAUCUAAGAAGUUAGUUUUGUCCAACUGAUUUAUGUUUUCCUAAAGCUGGACUUCACAAUGACAACAGUAACAGUGACCACGACAGUUCCCUUGAGGGGGAAGGUAGAAGAUAAUUCUGCCUUGUACGAGUCCACAUCAGCUCACAUCAUCGAAGAAACUGAAUAUGUGAAAAAGAUUCGAACUACUCUGGAAAAGAUCCGAAAUCAAGUAUUUAAAGAUGAAGUAAGACAUAACAGUACAAAUCACAGACAAGAUGCAAAGCACUGUCAACACAUUCAGAACGGCUCUGGCUCUGAAAUGGACCCCUCUGGUUGCAGUUUUGAUCUGCUCCUGGAAAGGAUAAAAGGAAAAGACCGACAGCUCUUAGAAAUGAACAAAGAGAAUGAAGUGUUGAAAAUCAAGCUCGAAGCGUCCAGAGAAGCAGGAGCAGCAGCUCUGAGAAAUGUGGCCCAGAGAUUAUUUGAAAACUAUCAAACACAGUCUGAAGAAGUUAGAAAGAAGCAUGAGGACAGUAGACACCUACUCCAGGUUAACAAACUUGAAAAAGAACAGAAACUGAAGCAACAUGUUGAAAAUCUGAAGCAAAUUUCCGAAAAGCUUGAAGAAAAACAUAAUCAAAUCACAGAAUUGGAGAAUCUUGUACAGAGAAUGGAAAAGGAAAAGAGAACACUGCUAGGAAAAAAGCUGUCUUUGGAAAACAAUCUGCUGCAUCUCAAAUCCAAGGAUACAAAUGCUAAAAGUUGCCAAGAUCUUCAGAAGGAGAUUUCCCUCCUCCAGGAGCAGAUCUCUCACCUGCAGUUUGUGAUUCACUCCCAGCAUCAGAACCUGCGCAGUGUCAUCCAGGAGAUGGAAGGCUUAAAAAAUAAUUUAAAAGAACAAGAUAAAAGAAUUGAAGAUCUGAAAGAAAAAGUUAACAUACUUGAAGCCCAGGAGGACCUGACUUUGAAUCUAAGUUCUGCCCUGAACAAGAUGCUGGACAUUUAAACUCUUCAGAUCUCAGUUUUUUGUUAUAAUAAUGGUCCUUGGACUAGAAAAUCAUAACCAACUGCCUUUAAGUCUUAAAAUCUGUGCCAGACACCCAGCUGAGUAGUUUGCAUAUCUUUAUCUCAUUUCAGAACCUGUGAAGAAGGGACUAUGAACAUAUCUAUUAAUAUGAAUGAGGAAAUUAGGCACAGAGGGGAUAAGUAACCUAAAUGAGGUCACACAGCUAAACAAAGAACUUAAAACCAAGGUGGCAUUCUGGUCUGAAACUCCUAGGACGAAGGUAUCCAAGGCGGUCUCUACAAGGUCUCACGUUUGCAAAAGGAAAUCUAGCCAAUCGGCUGUUUGAAAAGGUAAGUGGUAGUGUGGUUUGGUAAGUCUAGAUUCACCAACAUAGAAUGGAAUUAUGACUCUCGGGAGGAAUUGGAGUAUAAAAAUAGCCAUUAAUGCAAAGAAAAAAAGAAUCACAUAUAUUUAAAAAUUAAUCUUGGCAAAUCUCUUAAAUCAGAGAAUUCUUUCAGUUAGUACGAGAAAACAAGUUUUUUUUCCCCCCAAGCAUUAGAACAUAUAGAUGUUUCUUGAGUUGAACACCAAUGAAAGGGUUUGCUGGAUAUUAAGGAUCCGGUUGUUACAAAACAACAAAACAGCAACAAUAAGACACACAUAUAUACAUAUAUGUGUACAUACGUGUGUGCACAAAUAUUGAUGUGUGUGUGUAUAUUUGUGUGUGUGUAUAUAUAUAUAUAUAUUUUUAAACUAGACUCACACAGUGAAGAGAGAAUUUUAGGCUGUGAGAAACCCACAGAACUAAAACAUCCUGAAGGAACAAUCGAUUUAUCUGUCCCAUCUCCAAGUCACUCUGGUUCAUGUCUUCACUGAGUAGAAGGGCAGACACAAGCUCUAGCUCUUUCUCCCUCCUGUCCUCUUACAAUCAGAUCCACUUACAUAAGGUUAAUGCAUCCAUAACAUGCUUCUGCUGUGUCUUAUGGGGAAUUAGAAUCGGUCAAUUAACCAUCAUCCAUUCAGUUAAAGCAAUUAGUUCAGACUUGGAAGUACAGCAGUAGUGGAGAUGGUAAUGGAGGUGGUACAGCAGUUAUAUCAAUAAAGUUUUAUGUGCUUGAUUUUGAUAAUUGUGUGGUCUUCUCCACAGUGAGUUGAAGACUGAAGGCACGACCCCAUAUUUGAUGUUGGUUAGGCUACGGAAAUGAGCUGCUGGGCUGAAGAUCGGAAUGAGAAAGAUCACUAUCUGGGUCUUAUUUAUUUCUUGAAACACAGUCUAAAUUUACAUAUUAAACUGCUCAAUGCCAGUAUUUAAUGGAAUUUAUUGUAUUAUAUUUAAUAUGUACAUCAAUGGCUUUGCAGGAAGGUAACAUUUCAGAAAAUCAAACAAAUAUAUAUUCAAGGAAAGGAACUCUUUCUUCAAAACUUACUAAGUGGAUGAAGAAACUGGAUGCUUUCCCACGAAGGAAGAUGAAUUUUGCUUUAAACUUAAAAAAAAAUCUGAAAUUUUUUUGGGCAGUUUUUUUUCAAGGAACUGGUUAAGGGGUUAAGAUUGUCAGCUCUGACCUUUUGAUAGUGGUUUUUAUGUACAGUCAUCCCUCCGUAUCCACAGGAGAUUGGUUCCAGGAGCCCCUUCGAGUACCAAAACCCAUGUGGAUGCUCAAGUCCCAUAAAUAAAGUGGCGGAGUGCAGUUGACUCUCUGUAUCCAUGGUUUCCACAUCCGCGGAUGCAACCAAUGUCGGUGUGGAAACUGCGGGUACAGAGGGCCGACUGUAUACAAAUAUAAGGAAGAAUGUACAGGCAUACUUCCUUUCACUGCAUUUCACAGACUCUAUGCUUUUUACGAAUUGAAGGUUUGUGACAACCUCGCAUUGUCAGAUGAUGGUUAGCAUAUUUUAGCAAUAAAGUGUUUUUAAAUUAAGGUAUGUAUACUGAUUUUUUAAACAAUGCUAUUGCACACUUAACAGGCUACAAUAUAGCAUAAACAUAGCUCUUAGAUGCACUGGGAAACCAGAAAUUUCACGCGACUAGCUUUACUGUGAUAUUCUCUUUAUUGUGGUGCUCUGGUACUGAACCUGCGAUAUGUCUGUAUGUGUGUGUAUGUGUGUGAAUAAAUGAUGUAUUUUAAAGUUGACUUUUGGAUAAUACGAAAUAUCUUACCAUAAUAUAAAUUCAUCUCCCAACCCAUGAUUGGUGGGAGAGUUAUUCUCUACUGAAUUAAGGGUAGAAAAAGGUAGAAAAGAUUCUUUUUAACUAAUUACCCAACCCACAGAACCCUCUGAAGUCAAGAAUCCUGGCUACCUCAUCACACCUUAGGAGGCCACCGUUCUUCAGUUGGGAUUGAACUUUGGUUGCUAGAGGCAACUCACACAUCAGCACAAAGAGAUGCACUUUGUGACUAAUUUUCUUUUCAAUCUUCGUUAAUAUUAUCUAAGUAAAAUGUAUGAGGGAAAGAAUAGAACAGUGCUGUUAGCUCUUACCUCCAUAAAAAGGUAUUUGUUAAGGGUUCAAAGGGACAAUGGCUGCUGUCUGCAGCCAUGAAGAAUCUGAAUUCAUGAACUUGGCAUUAUAUGUCUAGUGCUUUUGUGAAACUGUGCUUAAAUUUUGAUACAUGCAUUCAUUAUAGUGGAAUUUGUGAUUGCUAUAAGUAAAAGAGAACUCUAACUUGUAGAAAUGCAAACAUACUGACACUCAGGAAAGCAGAACCCACUUCAGCUAAAGGCAUAAUGGGAGACCUUUGUCCUUCUAAAGGUGAAUUACUUGUAGGCUUUCUGAUCAUUCUCUUUGGUGUAUAACGAAAUAUUUUCUCAGGAAAGAUGCUUCAUGCCUUUCAAGGUGGCAUGUGAAACAUCUGUGUGAUCUAUGAAAUAUUUAAAAGUAUUCACUAGUGAGAUGAAGUCAUGUCUUUACAAAUUCAGCAAAGUACUAUAAUCCUUGCAAUGUUGCAUAACUGUGUGUGAGGUUCAUACUUCUUGGUUUUUAUUGCUUUGUAGUUUUUAAGGUGUGGUUCUCUAAUAACAUUUAGGUCACAGUCACCCUAUGCCAGGAACAGUUGUAAGUACUUCACCCGCAUUAAUUGCUUUGAUCCUCCCAACAACCCUCUGUUUUCAGAGGAGGAUACUCUGAGCGAUUAGGUAAGUUUCCUAACUGCUAACUAUGGAACAAACAUUUGAACCUUUGACUUGGCUAUUGAUACCCCUGCCUGCUCACUUGGUGGUCUGAGAUCCCUCCCAGAUAUAGAAAUGUUUCUCUUUUUGCUACUUUAACCACCACAGCUUUUUUGCUGGCUUUCUACACCACACUGUGGAUGACAGUCAGAAACAACACUUGCUAUUUAGGUAAACAUUUUGCUGAGAUGAGUUGGCCUUUCACUGUUGAGGUACUUAGUUCAGAAAAACUUCUCUGCUAAAAAUCUACUUAUUUUACCUUUGUUAUUCAUGCCUUUAUGCCACCUUGAAGAUUUUUGGUAGAAUGCAUUUCCUGGCACAUGUGUAGCAAUAUCGGGAUCAUGAACUCUGCUUUAAGCAUCUGCAGUGUGGUAGGAGAUUUCACCUUUCACGUGGAGAUCACUUAAGUUCCUCUUAUACCCCAGCCAUCAUGCUGGGUUGUAAUAAAUGUGAGCUUUUGGAAUGGACCCAUCUAACUGACGUAACAACCUGGAUGAUUUCCAUUAGAAUAAUGUAUUCUAAAAUCAAAAACAGAAAGACACUGUUGGAUUUUAUUUGCGUUUCACUAUAUUCAUUUUUGAACACAGAAGGACAGUUCAAUGUAAUGCAUAGGACCUGAUGAUGUGGUCUCCAGCUUCACUUUGGGAUGGUGUUUGGAUCUCUUGAGAAUAGGAAUGAGCAGCUUCAGAAGCCUGAAAAGAUCUGAACUCUUCAAAUACAAAAACAUUGUUUUAUUAACAUCAGUAGAUCAUUUAUUUGUCAUGUGUGGAUUAUUUCCAAUCUCCUCAUCAUUUCAGCUUCAUCAUUUGAAUUGUUUCUUUAAAUAAACAUUCCUGAGUGAUAAAAAAAAAAAACCAUUACAAUAGAGAAUGAAAUUUAUUAGUCUAAAAGUAGCACCACACAGAAAAUACAAAAACAAAAACCAUUAGCUCAAUUGUAGUCAAGAUAUUUGUACUUAUAAUUAUACUAAUCAAAAUUGGAUAAGAAGGUCUGAGGUGGGCUUUGAAGUAAAUACAUGAAGGUGGGAAAUGAAAAGAAACUUAGUUUCACUUUGAUUACAUAUAUUGUUAUAAAUUAUCAUUAAGAAAUAUUUAAACAAUUGGUGUAGUAUAUACCAUUUGAUUGUGAUAUGCCUUAAAUAAAGAAAAUUG
Hippopotamus amphibius kiboko is the source of this 5653-nucleotide RNA transcript. It is a transcript of the gene named coiled-coil domain containing 68, with no coding region annotated. The transcript has 13 exons. The record is from RefSeq and is a predicted model, not a curated record. Lineage: Eukaryota; Metazoa; Chordata; Mammalia; Artiodactyla; Hippopotamidae.